CCAACAGGGAUUGCCCUAGUAACGGCGAGUGAAGCGGCAACAGCUCAAAUUUGAAAUCUGGCUCUCGGGCCCGAGUUGUAAUUUGUAGAGGAUACUUUUGAUGCGGUGCCUUCCGAGUUCCCUGGAACGGGACGCCAUAGAGGGUGAGAGCCCCGUCUGGUUGGAUGCCAAAUCUCUGUAAAGUUCCUUCGACGAGUCGAGUAGUUUGGGAAUGCUGCUCUAAAUGGGAGGUAUAUGUCUUCUAAAGCUAAAUACCGGCCAGAGACCGAUAGCGCACAAGUAGAGUGAUCGAAAGAUGAAAAGCACUUUGAAAAGAGAGUUAAAAAGUACGUGAAAUUGUUGAAAGGGAAGCGUUUAUGACCAGACUUGGGCUUGGUUACUCAUCUGGGGUUCUCCCCAGUGCACUUUUCCAGUCCAG
This 418-nucleotide ribosomal RNA is filed under the name Fusarium sp. MRC 1077. RNAcentral's name for it is "LSU rRNA". It matches the Rfam family "Eukaryotic large subunit ribosomal RNA", at positions 65 to 494 of the family's 3401-position model. Lineage: Eukaryota; Fungi; Ascomycota; Sordariomycetes; Hypocreales; Nectriaceae. The record is from RNAcentral.